Molecule: transfer RNA, 61 nt
Filed under: Limnodrilus hoffmeisteri
Lineage: Eukaryota; Metazoa; Annelida; Clitellata; Tubificida; Naididae
Description: tRNA-Pro
Source: RNAcentral
AAAAUAGUUUAAUAAAAAUAGUGACUUUGGGUGUCAUCAACCGCCUCGGCGUUACCUGAGC